RNAcentral lists this ribosomal RNA (253 nucleotides) under uncultured bacterium. RNAcentral describes it as "partial 16S ribosomal RNA". It matches the Rfam family "Bacterial small subunit ribosomal RNA", at positions 524 to 776 of the family's 1533-position model. The record is from RNAcentral.
GACAGAGGUGCCGAGCGUUAGGCGGAAUCACUGGGCUUAAAGCGUGUGUAGGCGGACCGUUAAGUGCCUUGUGAAAUCCCACGGCUCAACCGUGGAACGGCUGGGCAGACUGGCGGUCUUGAGCCACCUAAGGGCGGACGGAACAAGCGGUGGAGCGGUGAAAUGCGUAGAGAUGUGGAGGAACACCGAUGGCGAAGGCAGCCCCCUGGGCUGAGAUUGACGCUCGGGCACGAAAGCGUGGGGAGCAAACAGG